UCUGGAUGCCGAAGAGAUUUGGCCGUGCUCGCAAGAGAACCGGAACACAGGUGCUGCAUGGCUGUCGUCAGCUCGUGUCGUGAGAUGUUGGGUUAAGUCCCGCAACGAGCGCAACCCUUGUCAUUAGUUGCUACGAAAGGGCACUCUAAUGAGACUGCCGGUGACAAACCGGAGGAAGGUGGGGAUGACGUCAAGUCCUCAUGGCCCUUAUGGGUAGGGCUUCACACGUCAUACAAUGGUCGGGACAGAGGGUCGCCAACCCGCGAGGGGGAGCCAAUCCCAGAAACCCGAUCGUAGUCCGGAUCGCAGUCUGCAACUCGACUGCGUGAAGUCGGAAUCGCUAGUAAUCGCGGAUCAGCAUGUCGCGGUGAAUACGUUCCCGGGUUUGGGUACACACCG
Molecule: ribosomal RNA, 399 nt
Filed under: Achromobacter sp. SB43
Lineage: Bacteria; Pseudomonadati; Pseudomonadota; Betaproteobacteria; Burkholderiales; Alcaligenaceae
Description: bacterial SSU rRNA
Rfam family: Bacterial small subunit ribosomal RNA
Source: RNAcentral